UACGAAGGGAGCUAGCGUUGUUCGGAAUCACUGGGCGUAAAGCGCACGUAGGCGGAUUUGUCAGUCAGGGGUGAAAUCCCGGGGCUCAACCUCGGAACUGCCUUUGAUACAGCAAGUCUUGAGUUCGAGAGAGGUGGGUGGAAUUCCUAGUGUAGAGGUGAAAUUCGUAGAUAUUAGGAAGAACACCGGUGGCGAAGGCGGCCCACUGGCUCGAUACUGACGCUGAGGUACGAAAGCGUGGGGAGCAAACAGG
RNAcentral lists this ribosomal RNA (253 nucleotides) under uncultured bacterium. Its description in RNAcentral is "partial 16S ribosomal RNA". It matches the Rfam family "Bacterial small subunit ribosomal RNA", at positions 524 to 776 of the family's 1533-position model. The record is from RNAcentral.